RNAcentral lists this ribosomal RNA (688 nucleotides) under Fusarium sp. NRRL 25184. RNAcentral describes it as "SSU rRNA". It matches the Rfam family "Bacterial small subunit ribosomal RNA", at positions 300 to 937 of the family's 1533-position model. Lineage: Eukaryota; Fungi; Ascomycota; Sordariomycetes; Hypocreales; Nectriaceae. The record is from RNAcentral.
GCUAACGGCUGAACUGGCAACUUGGAGAAGUGGCAAGUCUUCCAGUAUGGGGAGCAAAACAGCUAUGGGUCAAGUCCGAUAUCUUUAGGAGAAGUCUUAUUGUGAGGGCGAGUUAUAUAACACCAUAGGACUGGCCGCCCCAUAUGAAAAGAUUAUAUUAGAAUUGAAUGAAGCUUUGUUUAUAUAUUGAUAAUGACAGUAUAUAUAUCGNGUCUUGACUAAUUGCGUGCCAGCAGUCGCGGUAAUACGUAAGAGACUAGUGUUAUUCAUCUUAAUUAGGUUUAAAGGGUACCCAGACGGUCAAUAUAGCUUAUAAAAUGUUAGUACUUGACUAGAGUUUUAUGUAAGAGGGCAGUACUUGAGGAGGAGAGAUGAAAUUUCGUGAUACCAAAGGGACUCUGUAAAGGCGAAGGCAGCCCUCUAUGUAAAAACUGACGUUGAAGGACGAAGGCACAGAGAACAAACAGGAUUAGAUACCCAAGUAGUCUUUGCAGUAAAUGAUGAAUGCCAUAGGUCAGAUUGCAUAUUAAUGUUUAUAGUCUAAUAGGGUUAGUCUAGCAAACUAAUGACAUAGACUUUUAUUAAUAAUAUUUGGUCUAUAAAUGAAAGUGUAAGCAUUUCACCUCAAGAGUAAUGUGGCAACGCAGGAACUGAAAUCACUAGACCGUUUCUGACACCAGUAGUGAAG